UAAAACCAUUCAGUAGCCCCCUUGGGGAUAGGCGCAAAGGUCGACAUCAAAGGAAUGAUGGGGUCCGCCACAACCGGUGGAGCACUGGUUUAAUCGGAGCCACGCGGAGAACCUUACCAAGGCUUGACAUAUAACCGCCGUGCUGUGAAAGCAGUAUUCUCUUCGGAGACGGUUAUACAGGUGGUGCAUGGUGGUCGUCAGCUCGGGUGUGAGAUGUUGGGUUAAGUCCCGCAACCGAGCGCAACCCCUAUUGUUAGUUGCCAUCAUUAAGUUGGGCACUCUACCGAGACUGCCGGUGACAAACCGGAGGAAGGUGGGGAUGACGUCAAAUCAUCAUGCCCCUUAUGUCUUGGGCUACACACGUGCUACAAUGGCCAGUACAACGGGUUGUUAAAGAGCGAUCUGGAGCUAAUCCCACAAAACUGGUCUCAGUUCGGAUUGUAGGCUGCAAUUCGCCUGCAUGAAGCUGGAAUCGCUAGUAAUCGCGGAUCAGCAUGCCGCGGUGAAUACGUUCCCGGGCCUGUACACACCGCCCGUCACACCACGAAAGCUGGCAACACCCGAAGCCGGUGGGCUAACCCUUUUGGGAAGCAGCCGUCGAAGGUGGGGUUAGUGAUUGGGGUGAAGUCGUAACAAGGUAGCCGUAUCGGAAGGUGCGGCUGGAUCACCUCCUUU
Ribosomal RNA from Dethiobacter alkaliphilus AHT 1, 675 nucleotides. It matches the Rfam family "Bacterial small subunit ribosomal RNA", at positions 852 to 1533 of the family's 1533-position model. The record is from Rfam. Lineage: Bacteria; Bacillati; Bacillota; Dethiobacteria; Dethiobacterales; Dethiobacteraceae.